Molecule: ribosomal RNA, 504 nt
Filed under: uncultured bacterium
Lineage: Bacteria
Description: bacterial SSU rRNA
Rfam family: Bacterial small subunit ribosomal RNA
Source: RNAcentral
UGAGUAAUGUCUGGGAAACUGCCUGAUGGAGGGGGAUAACUACUGGAAACGGUAGCUAAUACCGCAUAACGUCGCAAGACCAAAGAGGGGGACUUUCGGGCCUCUUGCCAUCAGAUGUGCCCAGAUGGGAUUAGCUAGUAGGUGGGGUAAUGGCUCACCUAGGCGACGAUCCCUAGCUGGUCUGAGAGGAUGACCAGCCACACUGGAACUGAGACACGGUCCAGACUCCUACGGGAGGCAGCAGUGGGGAAUAUUGCACAAUGGGCGCAAGCCUGAUGCAGCCAUGCCGCGUGUGUGAAGAAGGCCUUCGGGUUGUAAAGCACUUUCAGCGAGGAGGAAGGUGGUGAGCUUAAUACGCUCAUCAAUUGACGUUACUCGCAGAAGAAGCACCGGCUAACUCCGUGCCAGCAGCCGCGGUAAUACGGAGGGUGCAAGCGUUAAUCGGAAUUACUGGGCGUAAAGCGCACGCAGGCGGUUUGUUAAGUCAGAUGUGAAAUCCCCGGG